Molecule: ribosomal RNA, 274 nt
Filed under: uncultured bacterium
Lineage: Bacteria
Description: partial 16S ribosomal RNA
Rfam family: Bacterial small subunit ribosomal RNA
Source: RNAcentral
AUACGGAGGGUGCGAGCGUUAAUCGGAAUUACUGGGCGUAAAGCGUACGUAGGCGGUUGGUUAAGUUAGAUGUGAAAGCCCCGGGCUUAACCUGGGAACUGCAUUUAAAACUGACGAACUAGAGUUGAGUAGAGGGGGGUGGAAUUUCAGGUGUAGCGGUGAAAUGCGUAGAUAUCGGAAGGAACACCAGUGGCGAAGGCGACUCUCUGGACUGAUACUGACACUGAGGCACGAAAGCGUGGGGAGCAAACAGGAUUAGAAACCCCAGUAGUCC